This 239-nucleotide unclassified non-coding RNA is filed under the name Hevea brasiliensis (rubber tree). Lineage: Eukaryota; Viridiplantae; Streptophyta; Magnoliopsida; Malpighiales; Euphorbiaceae. The record is from RNAcentral.
UUUUUUGUGUGUGCGCGCUAUAGGUAAAUCUGAAGUGGUAAGAAAGAGGAUUUGUGAAUUGUAGAGCUUAUUUUGUGGUUCUAGGGUUUUAGUUUGCAUUUGGAGGAGUUGUUGUUGAGUGUCCCAUGGCUUCGUAUAGGCCAUUUCCUCCAUCAUCGCAGUCGAGUUUUGUUCCUCCGCCACCGCCUCCGCAGAAUCAGAACCCUCCGCCACCGCCGUCUCAAUCCAGGGGAAGUCAG